GAUGAACGCUGGCGGCGUGCCUAAUACAUGCCAGUCGAGCGAACAGAUAAGGAGCUUGCUCCUUUGACGUUAGCGGCGGACGGGUGAGUAACACGUGGGUAACCUACCUAUAAGACUGGAAUGACUCCGGGAAACCGGGGCUAAUGCCGGAUAACAUUUAGAACCGCAUGGUUCUAAAGUGAAAGAUGGUUUUGCUAUCACUUAUAGAUGGACCCGCGCCGUAUUAGCUAGUUGGUAAGGUAACGGCUUACCAAGGCAACGAUACGUAGCCGACCUGAGAGGGUGAUCGGCCACACUGGAACUGAGACACGGUCCAGACUCCUACGGGAGGCAGCAGUAGGGAAUCUUCCGCAAUGGGCGAAAGCCUGACGGAGCAACGCCGCGUGAGUGAUGAAGGUCUUCGGAUCGUAAAACUCUGUUAUUAGGGAAGAACAAAUGUGUAAGUAACUGUGCACGUCUUGACGGUACCUAAUCAGAAAGCCACGGCUAACUACGUG
This 497-nucleotide ribosomal RNA is filed under the name uncultured bacterium. RNAcentral's name for it is "partial 16S ribosomal RNA". It matches the Rfam family "Bacterial small subunit ribosomal RNA", at positions 28 to 507 of the family's 1533-position model. The record is from RNAcentral.